ACCUAUGCUUCUCUUGUCUUAUAAAGCAUCAUUGUAACAAUUGUGCAACUUUCUGAAGUGCUUUUCUAAAGUGCCGUUAAUGUUAUUGAACCACGACUAGUUAGCUCCACAUACUGUGAACAACUUUAUUUUUGCGGCCUCAAUAUUUCGCAAAUUUGGAGAAUAUUUCAUGCGCAGAAAAUUUUGCGAGGAGUGAACGAGGCUGGUGUGCUGCAGUAAUCAAAUGACAGAUGAAGAAAUAAACUUCAACAUAUCGACUGACCUCACUGAAGUGAGCGCCGCUAUCCUUCAGCAUCCCGCUCCACUCCCGGCUGUUCGAUGAAACCAUGGCCUGCCUUGCGGCUCCUG
RNAcentral lists this long non-coding RNA (348 nucleotides) under Ixodes scapularis (black-legged tick). RNAcentral describes it as "uncharacterized LOC120844499". The record is from RNAcentral. Lineage: Eukaryota; Metazoa; Arthropoda; Arachnida; Ixodida; Ixodidae.